Molecule: long non-coding RNA, 7550 nt
Filed under: Lactuca sativa (garden lettuce)
Lineage: Eukaryota; Viridiplantae; Streptophyta; Magnoliopsida; Asterales; Asteraceae
Description: long non-coding RNA (LSAT_LNC003804)
Source: RNAcentral
CACCUGCCGCACUUAGACCUGCUACGUACAUCCUCUUGCGCCCUUUCUUCCUUUGUGUAACUACCACAACCCUCGGGUCUUUGGCACCAACUAUGGCAGUGUCCGACUGCUCAGAUUGUUAAGCCUGACUAGAAGUCCGCUUCCUCUUCCCCAACUGCAUAUCUAAACCAAUCUAUUGUUGGAUUAGUGUCUAAGUCCAUAACUAUUUUGGUAUGUACUUGACCCGAUGGUGCAUGGUCCUUUUGGGUUGCCUUCACCAAAGCAACUUGAUUGGAGAAAUAAAUAGAGAGAGAGGUUAUUAUGAUUUAUUAAUAUGUUAUAAGAAUAAUAUAUUAAAGGAGAAAUCAUAUUUGUUUAAUUAAUAUUGGUCAAUAAUUAAUUAAGAAUUAAUUUUGUGAUCAAGUGUAAUUAAUUAAACUAGAGGGGCUGAUUUGUAAUUAUGUGAUAGUUACAAAAUAAGGUAAGGAUUAUCUUAUAAGUAUGGUGGACGAAUUUAAGGUUGGAAAGCCUUAGAAUUCGAGUAUGAUAAGGAUUCAAGGAUUAUCUUAUUGGUUGCUUAAUGGAUAAUCAACUAGAUAAGGAUAAUGACUGAAACCCUAUCUCUACACCUAUAUAAACAACCCCAAGGUCAUGAAUUCGUGUAACCCUUCCCAAGAAGUCUUAGAAACGAAUUCUAACCUCUCUCCUCUCUCUUUAUACCUUCUCCACUUGCUUAUGGUGUUUGUAAGCCAUUAGAGGAGUGACACUUGUGACUCUCAGCUUUCCAAGGUCAAUUCAAGGAGGAAUUGGAUUGUUAUUGCUAUAUAACCAUCAAGGUAUGUUCUUAAACCUAAUUACAUGUGAAUUCUGAUUUCCAUAUGCUAGAAUUAGGGUUCAAAGUCUUGGAUUCAAAGUAUGUACAAUAGAGAAACCUAGAUCCAAGCUUUAGGGUUUGUAUGAGCACAUAGGAUGUCUUAUGACCAAAACCCAUCAGUGGUAUCAGAGCCAUGAUUGGUUUCUAUUGUAUUGAUGCUUGAUGUAACUGAAAAUCGUGUUUUGGCCUCACUGUUCGACCUGACUCGGCGAGUCACUCUUGGACUCGGCGAGUCAGCCCUACUCGGCGAGUUCCAGAGGGUGACUCGGCGAGUCGGUGCGUCAGACAGUGCUUAUCUCGGGAUUUCUUGCUGUUUUUGCAUUGGGAUAAUUACCUUAUCAUGUUAGAUUAAUAUUAAUCCGAUUAUAUGAUAUAUUUGACUAUAAUUUUAAUCUAAUUGAAGAUAUUUAUCAAUUAAUAGGAUAAUUGUUUCCUUAUAAGAUAAUUGAUUAAUUAUUUUAAGUAAAUUGAUAAAUUAUUUUGCAAGAAAUCAUCAAAUAUGGAUAAUUAUGUGAUUAAAUGUUAAUUUGAAUUAUUUGUUAUUUGAUCCUUGUUGUUGUGAAAAGUUUCAUAUUUGGCCCUUUAGGUUUUAUAGUUUAAAUUUGAACCCCAAAAGUUUUGUUGUUUUGAAAUUUAAAUAGUUGAAACCCUAAUGUUUUGAAAAAGGUUUCAAAACUUGCCCUCAAGUUUUGGAAUUUAAAUUUUGAUUAAAUAGUUUAAUUUUGAUGCAUAUUUAAAUUCUAAACCCUAAUGUGUUGAAAUGUUUCAAAACUUGCCCUCAAGUUUUGGAAUUUAAAAGUUGAUUAAAAGUUUAAUUAGGAAUGUUAAAUUCUAAAACUCUAGUAUAGUUUUGAAAAAGUUCAAAUCACACCCUUAUGGUUUUAUUAAUUAAUUAAGGUGUAUAAUUAAAAGAGGUUUAAUAAAUCCAUAAAAGUUUAGGUUUACAAUUUAAUUGAAUUAAAAGUAUAAUUGUUAAAUUAGACCACCUAGUAUUUUAAAAGUAUAAAAUACACCCUAUACUAUAUAUAACAUUAAAAGUCUAACAUUAUAUAUAUGUAUGAGUAAAAGUCAGUCUUACCGUUAGUAGGCCUCAUUCACGAAGCUGGUCUAUAAGGGGUGUUUAAGGAAAUUGCCUAUAAAAUGGCGAUUGAAUGGGUAUCCACUCUUACCCACCGCACUCUUGACUAGUGGAGGGUCGUUAGCCGAACGGGUAGGAUAGGACGAAACCUUCCAUUAUAAGUAUAAUGAAUUAUUAAAGUAACUAAAUGUUUUCAUAAAAUUCCCAAUCUUAGUUACUUAGGCAAAAGUGAAUUGAUGCAAUUCCAUGAAAUUACACUUUGUGCCCUUGCGAAGACGUUAGUGGAGCGUGUGUGGUUUACCGGCACACUAAAUGGUUCUAAGCAAAGGUAGCAAAGGGUGACUCAAUGUUUGUCAUAGUUCGGUGGAGCGUGUGUGGUUUACCGGCACAUCGAAUAGGUGACUGUAACAUGUGAGGGCACCAUGUAAGUUUGCAUGGUUAUUCACACCCGCUUUGUGAUCCUCGGCAUCCCAGUCACAAACAAGAGGGGCAUAUCGAGAUUUAAACAUGCCAUUGAAAGUUCAAUGAAUCUCAAAGGAUCUAGGAGUUUUCAUAGAUUUAAAACUUAAAUUUCUUUUUCGUUUUUCAUGGUGGAAAUUAGUGAAUCGUCAUUCACUUACCUUCAAAUAUUCUGCAAUUAGGGUUACGGCAUCCCUCUCCCGAGUUGUAGAAUAUUGUGUUGGGUCCUAGCCUUAGUAUCUCAUUUGGGUGAUUUACUAAGGACUCAAUCAAUCAACUAACUUGAAUUCGUUUUCUCCCGUUUUGUAGAUGUCAAAGUUCGACAACUAUGGUCUUCCCAAAUCCCGUGGAACAAGCAUUCCACAUGAAGAUGAUAUUCCACGAUUCGAUCGAGGAACAAGAAAUCAUGCUUCACUUCCUCCUCCUCCUCCAAUUAUUCUCCCUAACCCACAAGUUCAAAGGCUUGAAAAGUUCAAGAUCACUCAAGCCCUUUUGGCAAGUAAACAUAAAGAAGGAAAGUCGGUGUGUGCACACGUCCUAGGGAUGAAGUCACACAUUGAUAGGUUAAGAAUGUUGGGAUCCGUUGUCUGUGAGGAAAUGGCUGUUGAUUGGGUUCUUCAGUCACUUCCUAACUCAUAUAGUGAGUUCGUAAGAGAGUACUAUAUGAUGAACCGCGACGUGACCCUUAUAGAUCUCACCUAUAUGCUUAUUGCUGCUGAAUCAGCAAUGGUUUGGCGCAAUAGAAAAGCAAAGUUGAUUGGUGAAUCUGCCUUCAAGACCUCUAUGGAUAUAGACAAUGGCAACGAAAGACAUGCUAUGAUCGAAAAGUUUGAUCAUAAGAGAAAGGCAAUGUCUGAAGUAGUUCCAUGUCAUGUUCCAAAAGAGUCAAUUUGCUUUUAUUGCCAAGAGAAAGGGCAUUGGAGACGAAGCUGCCCCAUUUACCUAAGAGAUCUAAGAGAUGGGAGAGUCGAAACGUAUGGCUCUAAUAUAGGUAAAAUCCAUUAACUAACUCUUUUAAGCUUCUAUUCUAGAUUCUUAAUACAUAAUGUGAUAAGAUUACAAUUGAUGUUUUGUAGGAUCGAAGAAAAGAAAGGAAGCUUAAGGGAAGAAGUGAGCAGAAUCUAACCGUGAAGGAAUGGAUUUCGAUCGCAUUUCUCGAAGAUUAGAUUCUUGAGCUACUACUUAGAGUUAGAAUUAGAUUGCUAAGAAAGAUGUAUUAGCAUAGUUUUUCAAUGAAUUGCAUUGUAAGGACAAAUUUUUUCCGCAAUAAAAUAAAUUUUGAUUUUAUAUUAUUUAUUUAUCCUUGCAAUGGCGUAUAUGAAAAAUUGAUGUUUGAAUGUUUCUAUUAUUAGCAAUAAUGGAUUUGGUUCUUAUUAUGUUAUUUAUGGAAAGUCGAGAAUUUACCAAAUAGGGAGAGUUUCUCAUCGCCCAAGUUUCAAUUGGACAGAAACUUGGAAUCAUGCAACUUGGUUGCACGAUGAAUGAGAAAUUUCAUAUUUGGAAAUUAGACUAAUUCAUUGACAAAGUGUCAAGUGAAGGACUAGGAGAUCGAGUACACAAAGUUGCGUGUUGAUCAAGUCCACCAUAAGAGUAACAAAGAUAUUCGUCAUGAUUUACUAAAGGUUUAGUAAAUAUGAUUAUACUUACAAGAUUAAGUGUAAUUCUGAAUUGAUUGAAAAAGUUUAAAUCAAUAGCAGAACGAAUAAGAAGAAUCAAGUAGGCAGAAAGAUAAAAGUUUCUCCAUUCUAAGAAGAAGGGAGAGUACCUUUUAUGCUUUAUGAUAGGUCUUAAUGAUUAAGAACCAUAUCUCAAUUGAUCCUCUAAGUGAGUCUUAGUACAAUUGUAUGUCUAAGAAGAGGAAUCAAGAAUUGAAGAAAUGGUUAAAUCAAGAAGUCAAUCAUACUUCGUUCCAAAACAAGUCUUAGAGUUAAGAUUGUGACAUUGAGUGAUAAGUAUUAAGAAGGUUUAUAACAUUCAUCAAAUGUGGAAAGUUGUGAUGUCUUGGAUAAGACAAAGACCAACUAGGACCAAUUUAUGAAGUGUUUUGAUAAAAGCUACACUAACUCUUGAAUAUUUGUUUGUCAAGAAAUGUUUAUUGACAAGAGAAUCUUAUAUGUCAAGGAGUCAGUGGGAGUCUUAAUGGUCUUGAAAGGUUUCAAGAACAAAUCAAAUAAACCUUAUCGAUCAUCACUAGCACACGAGUUGAGGUUUACAACCUAUCGUGUUGACAUUAUUUUGUUUCUGUGCCAAUCCAAUCGAGUUAAUUAUGCAUGUGAGUUCUAUGAGUUCUCAUUUUGAACGCAUAAAAGGCAAAGCACCUUAAUCAAUGAAAGGUACAUUGAUAGGAAAGGGUGAGCUGCUUAACUACUUGGAAGACAUGGUGGGCAGCUGUGCUACCAUAAGGCAAGAAAUCAAGAUUAAGAAAGUUCGGUCCAUAUGAGUUUGAAUUUGUCGUAAACUUUGGUUUUAACAAAUUCACAUGGAUAGGAACACAUACACCGUUUAAAUCUAAGUGUCAUAAGAUUUCCUCCUUCAUGAAAAUGAUUGUGAGGAAAUGCUUUCACUAAGAAAGAUUUUAAGAAGAUAGUGAUUGUAAAAUUGCAUUCUCGAAUUCGAUUAUGGUUACGGUAUCCCUUUCCAUAAUUUGAAUUGUGAGGUUUGGCAAUUAGUCUUAAUUGUUUAGACACACAUAUGAACUAUCGAAGGCAAAGGUGUAUAAGUUCAAGAAGCCUUGAUAAAAGAUUAUCAAAGCACUAAGUAUUAGAAACAUGAACUUAAGAAAUUCAAUAAGUAUUGUUUUUCUGAAAGUUAAGAUGUUUAUGAAUACAUGUCGAAGCUAGUGGGAGCAUAAGUGUUAUGUUUUAUAAUAAUCAUCAUGAUAGUGGGAGCAUAAAUGUUAUGAUUGUAUGAUUAUUAAGGAAAGUAUUGCAAGUUGGCAAUAUUAAUUAUAGAAAACAAGAGUUAUACCUUGCAAAGUCGUAAGGGUUGUAAAGUUGUUUUGCUAUAAUUAAGGGAGAGAAUAUUAUGCUUCAUUUCAAAUCUAAAGGAUUAGGUUGAGAAAUGUUAAUAAAUUUAGUCAAAGGUACAUAGUGUGUUCUUAAAAUUUCGAUUAUGAUUACGGCAUCCCUCUUCACAAUUCGAAUUUUGAGAACAUAGCAAAUAAAACAUUAUGCGUCGUGUCCCAUACGCUUCGGGUAUAGGAUCGAUUGCAAAUGCUUUAAUGUUUGACCAUUCUAAAAUUUUCCAAAUGUCGAGCGCAUUUAGAGGGAAAAGGGACUAGAAUUGGUUUUGACUAAAAUAAUUAAACAACUAUCAAAGGACAAUCCAAAGUUCGACGAGGAUUGGUCGCUUGUGAGUAGUUGGAAGCAUGGUAUUGGAUGGACCAUAUCGACAUUAUUAUGAAUAGAAAAGAUUCUAUUAAGAAUGAGUUGUCAUAUGGAAAUUAUGGAAAUGUUUCCAUAUUGGAUGGACCAUAUCGACAUCAUUACGAAUAGAUAAGAUUCUAUUAAGAAUGAGUUGUCAUAUGGAAAAUAUGGAAGCGUGUCCAUAUUGGGAAUUGAAUAUUGAAAAUCUAUGUCUAGAUUAGAAACUUUUAUGCAAAAGGAUGUUCAAAGGAAUGUACUUUGAGUGAGAGACAUCAUAUCUAAGGAAUUGUCUUGUAACAAUCUCCGAUAGAGGACUUUGUAAUAUCAUUGGCAAUAGUCUUUGUGACUUUGGUGCAGUGACAUUACGAAAGGAUCGUUGCAUAGAAUGUUAGAAUCUAGCAUAUUCUAUAAGUAGCAAGAAUUUGAUAUUCUUUCACUUAUGAAAAAAGGAUUUGGAGUUGUGAAAUGAGAAGGAUUGGAAAUGUGUUCAAUGUGAUCUAUUUCACAAAGUAAGAACCAUAGGUAAACAUUGUGUGCAUGCUAGGAGCAUGGGACAAGUGUAGUAAUUCAAGUAAGAAGUUGAUUACCCGAAACGACAAAUAAUGAGUAAUCAAUAUGGUGAUAAAUAAAAGGUGUUUUAUUUAUACUCAAAGGUUUGAGGCCAUAUGGGAUUAGUAUUAUUCUUGUGUUUCACAUUUGCAUGUUUUGACUUCCAGAAUAAUUGAGUUUAUUAAGAAUAAUCGAAUUAUUCAAACGGGCCACAGUCGUUCAUAUGUUGGAAGUAGAUAUGAAUGAAGACUGUCGUGAAUUGGUGUGUGGAUUGUCUAAAAGAGUAUUAGACAUAAGCAAAUGUUUGCUGCAACGUUCAUGAGUGCUUAUGAAUAUGAUUUGAGCAUUGGAUUAAACCCACGCUCACUUGGAUCACUCCAUGAAUUGUAUCACGAGUGAUUGGUGAGACGAUAACAUCUUAUAUUCUUGAAACCGAGAUGUGUGAGUUGUAUCUUGCAAAUCGGUUGCACAUUGAUAAUAUGUAAACGCACUAGUAACUUGGUGUUAUAAAACAUAUUGUUGUGUGUGAUUCGGUGAGUGAGUGCAAGCAAGCAUUGUAUCAAAGUUUAUCCGUUCCUUUUAUCCAAAGUAGGAUAAAAGCGAUAUCUUUGGGCCCCUCGAUGGUUUAGUGAUGACAAACGUAAAUGCUCGGCCGGGCUAGGGCUAAUUUGAUUUGUUCAAUUAGUCAGUCGUCAUAAAUCGGAAAUCGAGAUAUAGUACAAAGAGAAUGAUUUGAAAUCAUAUCUCAUAUGAUAUCUAGAAUGGAGGAAUAUAUGAUCCCUUAUCUAAGGACACGCGUAUCUGAUAUGAUCAGAGUUGACAGCGGCUUUGGAAAGCUACGAUUGCAGAUCGGGAUCCGAAGUCAUACGCAGAAUAGUUGUUAGACUUAUCCAAGUGGGAGACUGUUGGAUUAGUGUCUAAGUCCAUAACUAUUUUGGUAUGUACUUGACCCGAUGGUGCAUGGUCCUUUUGGGUUGCCUUCACCAAAGCAACUUGAUUGGAGAAAUAAAUAGAGAGAGAGGUUAUUAUGAUUUAUUAAUAUGUUAUAAGAAUAAUAUAUUAAAGGAGAAAUCAUAUUUGUUUAAUUAAUAUUGGUCAAUAAUUAAUUAAGAAUUAAUUUUGUGAUCAAGUGUAAUUAAUUAAACUAGAGGGGCUAAUUUGUAAUUAUGUGAUAGUUACAAAAUAAGGUAAGGAUUAUCUUAUAAGUAUGGUGAACGAAUUUAAGGUUGGAAAGCCUUAGAAUUCG